Molecule: long non-coding RNA, 220 nt
Filed under: Mytilus galloprovincialis (Mediterranean mussel)
Lineage: Eukaryota; Metazoa; Mollusca; Bivalvia; Mytilida; Mytilidae
Source: RNAcentral
AUGCUUACAUGUAUUCCUCUGUUUCUAAUUUCCGUCCCAUAUUCCUUUUUUGCUUUAAAAAAAAACACCCAUUUUCAAGUUGGUUACUUACUAGUAAUCCUCAUUCCUUAUUCGUUACAUUACACGCUUAUAUUGUAAUUUCACCUCUAAGAAUCCAUAGCUAACACCUGGGGUUUAAGUCAUAAAACUUUGCUCAGUGUUCGGAGCACACAAAUUAUGC